UGAGGAAUAUUGGUCAAUGGGCGGAAGCCUGAACCAGCCAUGCCGCGUGAAGGAAUAAGGCCCUAUGGGUCGUAAACUUCUUUUGAGCGGGAGCAAUAAGGACUACGUGUAGUCCGAUGAGAGUACCGUUCUAAUAAGCAUCGGCUAACUCCGUGCCAGCAGCCGCGGUAAUACGGAGGAUGCAAGCGUUAUCCGGAUUUAUUGGGUUUAAAGGGUGCGUAGGCGGCGUAUCAAGUCAGAGGUGAAAGCCCGUAGCUCAACUAUGGAACUGCCUUUGAUACUGUUAUGCUGGAAUACUGUUGCCGUGGGAGGAAUGAGUAGUGUAGCGGUGAAAUGCUAGAUAUUACUCAGAACACCGAUUGCGAAGGCAUCUCACGAAGCAGGCAUUGACGCUGAGGCACGAAAGCGUGGGGAUCAAACAGGAUUAGAUACCCUGGUA
This 439-nucleotide ribosomal RNA is filed under the name uncultured bacterium. RNAcentral's name for it is "bacterial SSU rRNA". It matches the Rfam family "Bacterial small subunit ribosomal RNA", at positions 355 to 792 of the family's 1533-position model. The record is from RNAcentral.